Molecule: ribosomal RNA, 538 nt
Filed under: uncultured bacterium
Lineage: Bacteria
Description: bacterial SSU rRNA
Rfam family: Bacterial small subunit ribosomal RNA
Source: RNAcentral
GGAAUCUUGCACAAUGGAGGAAACUCUGACGCAGCGAUGCCGCGUGAGUGAAGAAGGCCUUUGGGUUGUAAAGCUCUUUUGUAGGGGAAGAUAAUGACUGUACCCUAAGAAUAAGGUCCGGCUAACUUCGUGCCAGCAGCCGCGGUAAUACGAAGGGACCUAGCGUAGUUCGGAAUUACUGGGCGUAAAGCGCGCGUAGGCCGUUGAGUUAGUUAAUUGUGAAAUCCCAAAGCUUAACUUUGGAACUGCAAUUAAAACUGCUCGACUAGAGUUUGAUAGAGGAAAGCGGAAUACAUAGUGUAGAGGUGAAAUUCGUAGAUAUUAUGUAGAACACCAGUUGCGAAGGCGGCUUUCUGGAUCAACACUGACGCUGAGGCGCGAAAGUAUGGGUAGCAAAGAGGAUUAGAUACCCUCGUAGUCCAUACCAUAAACGAUGAUUGCUAGAUGUUGGAAAUUUAUUUUCAGUAUCGCAGCUAACGCAUUAAGCAAUCCGCCUGGGGAGUACGACCGCAAGGUUAAAACUCAAAUGAAUUGACGG